This is a long non-coding RNA of Pollicipes pollicipes, 1456 nucleotides long. RefSeq lists it as uncharacterized. The record is from RefSeq and is a predicted model, not a curated record. The transcript has 3 exons. Lineage: Eukaryota; Metazoa; Arthropoda; Thecostraca; Pollicipedomorpha; Pollicipedidae.
ACCACUUUCCUUUAUCCCAUAGCCCUGAAAUGAUCAUGUCUGGUCGAAAGGGCUCUAAUCCAAAAACCUUAAAAACCUCGGCGUUGCGAUCUGUUGUGUUGGAAACGUUCACUGCCCGCGUACCAGGGGUGCGUGGUGGUUGCGCGUAGUUUUGGGUGCUUAACAAAUAUUUAUCGCACUUUUCGAUUAGGUUGGGGCAUUUGCGCUUGUCUCUUUAUAGCCUCGGGUCUUCUGCGUUGAACCUUUGCCUGUAUUGUCAGUUGCCAGGCAUGGGUAAACUUCCAUCACGUAUGAAAGUGCACUGGGCACGUAAACUGUGGUUUUAAUGGGGGAGGAAGAAAUUUGAAAAGGCACAUGAACACUAAGCACAAAGGGUUGCCCAUUGUUCUUAAGAAUUCAUGUUUUAGUUCAGGUGGAACAUGGGAAUCUUGGCUCCAAGGAAUGAACAGUGGCACAGAUGGCAGAGAACAAUGCACCAACACUUUUGAGAUGCCAAGUAGGUCAUCCAGUCUAGCUUUGUCAUCAGUGUCUGCAGACCAGACUGGAGGUCCGUCCUAUCGUGGCGUUUUGUGCUGCCCUGGUCCGCAACUUGAAGGCAAGGAGAGAGGGAGCUGGCGCGGAUGGUGGAAGAAAAGGAACAGCAAACAAGGCGAUCCUGGACAACAUGCUCGAUGUCCGGUCGGCUGGUGACCUAAAGGGUUUCCAGACCUAACAAAAAUCAGUCGACGCCCAGGUGAGCACAGUCUCCGAAGCCAUCGGACAUCUGGUGUCCGGCAAGCUGGUCCGCCAUCGGCUGCGGCGCCGAGCUGCAGCGUUCGCGAAGCAAUCAGCAUCCUGCGUAGUGAGGAACGCACUAGCUCCAACCAAGCUCUCUUGAAAGCUUUGUGGAAACGUGGUCGCUCGAUCGAACCUUUCGUCAGUCUAAUCGUCCGCGCGUGGUUGCGCAGUCCUGUCGAAAGUGUGGUUGAGUCCAUGGGCAGCGUAUUCAAGGAGGUUUUCUCCAUGCGUCGGCAGCUGAGGCAUGACAAUGCCGCGAAGGAGCUCAGGAUUGGAUGGAAUGGUCCUGAGCUUGAUGGUGCCGAACAUCUCAUAAGAGCUGUUCAGAAGCGUCACCAGUUUGACUUCGUGAGGCAGUCUGUCAACGUGAAGCACGUGCUCACGGGAACGGUGAUUGCCCGACACAGAGCAUGCCGAUCAUAUCGCUCCUGCCUUUUCAAGUAGUUGAAGAGAAAAGGAGUGCUGGCAUCGUGAGUCAGCCCUUGGAUCAAAUUUUGCGUGCGCGGUUAACGUUCUGGAGCUCACGGCGAGUGCUGAAGCACUGUAGGCAGGGUUCUUAGGCUUUCGUUGUGUGCUGAACUGUACGCGGCGUAUUUGGCAUUUUGUACUGACACCAUGUCGACGCGAUUAUGUACGUACCCAGGGUGAAUUCAGUGUAAAUACAAAAAAUCGUCGCGAA